RNAcentral lists this ribosomal RNA (115 nucleotides) under Bacteroidota bacterium. RNAcentral also lists the same sequence under 1 other name. Lineage: Bacteria; Pseudomonadati; Bacteroidota. The record is from RNAcentral.
UCUGGUGAUUAAAUGAAAGUGAAACACCUCUUCCCUUUCCGAACAGAGAAGUUAAGCCUUUCAUCUCCGAUGGUACUGCAUGGGCAACUGUGUGGGAGAGUAGGAUUCGCCAGGU